This 273-nucleotide ribosomal RNA is filed under the name uncultured bacterium. Its description in RNAcentral is "partial 16S ribosomal RNA". It matches the Rfam family "Bacterial small subunit ribosomal RNA", at positions 524 to 796 of the family's 1533-position model. The record is from RNAcentral.
GACGAACCACCCAAACGUUAUUCGGAAUCACUGGGCUUAAAGCGUGCGUAGGCGGCCUGCAAAGUUGGGUGUGAAAUCCCUCGGCUUAACCGAGGAAUUGCGCCCAAAACUAGUGGGCUGGAGGGAGAUAGAGGUAAGCGGAACUAAUGGUGGAGCGGUGAAAUGCGUUGAUAUCAUUAGGAACACCGGUGGCGAAAGCGGCUUACUGGGUCUCUUCUGACGCUGAGGCACGAAAGCUAGGGGAGCGAACGGGAUUAGAAACCCCCGUAGUCC